GAUGAACGCUGGCGGCGUGCCUAAUACAUGCAAGUCGAGCGAACAGACGAGGAGCUUGCUCCUCUGACGUUAGCGGCGGACGGGUGAGUAACACGUGGAUAACCUACCUAUAAGACUGGGAUAACUUCGGGAAACCGGAGCUAAUACCGGAUAAUAUAUUGAACCGCAUGGUUCAAUAGUGAAAGACGGUUUUGCUGUCACUUAUAGAUGGAUCUGCGCCGCAUUAGCUAGUUGGUAAGGUAACGGCUUACCAAGGCGACGAUGCGUAGCCGACCUGAGAGGGUGAUCGGCCACACUGGAACUGAGACACGGUCCAGACUCCUACGGGAGGCAGCAGUAGGGAAUCUUCCGCAAUGGGCGAAAGCCUGACGGAGCAACGCCGCGUGAGUGAUGAAGGUCUUCGGAUCGUAAAACUCUGUAAUUAGGGAAGAACAAAUGUGUAAGUAACUAUGCACGUCUUGACGGUACCUAAUCAGAAAGCCACGGCUAACUACGUG
This 497-nucleotide ribosomal RNA is filed under the name uncultured bacterium. Its description in RNAcentral is "partial 16S ribosomal RNA". It matches the Rfam family "Bacterial small subunit ribosomal RNA", at positions 28 to 507 of the family's 1533-position model. The record is from RNAcentral.